Lottia gigantea (owl limpet) is the source of this 73-nucleotide small nucleolar RNA. It matches the Rfam family "Small nucleolar RNA SNORD83". From Rfam's summary of the family: U83 (SNORD83) and U84 (SNORD84) are members of the C/D class of snoRNA which contain the C (UGAUGA) and D (CUGA) box motifs. The record is from Rfam. Lineage: Eukaryota; Metazoa; Mollusca; Gastropoda; Lottiidae.
ACCAAAUGAUGUAAAUUGAAACAUAGUAUAAUUCAAUGAUGACACUUAUUCAUCACCCAUUGAACUGAUGGUC